This 417-nucleotide ribosomal RNA is filed under the name uncultured bacterium. RNAcentral describes it as "bacterial SSU rRNA". It matches the Rfam family "Bacterial small subunit ribosomal RNA", at positions 349 to 782 of the family's 1533-position model. The record is from RNAcentral.
CAGCAGUGAGGAAUAUUGGUCAAUGGGCGCAAGCCUGAACCAGCAACGCCGCGUGGGUGAUGAAGGAUUUCGGUUCGUAAAACCCUUUUCUGUGUGACGAGCAAGGACGGUAGCACAGGAAUAAGCGUCGGCUAACUACGUGCCAGCAGCCGCGGUAAAACGUAGGACGCAAGCGUUAUCCGGAAUUACUGGGCGUAAAGCGCGUGUAGGCGGGUCUGUAAGUCUGUCGUGAAAGCUCCCGGCUAAACUGGGAGAGGUCGAUGGAAACUACAGGUCUGGAGUUUGGCAGAGGAAUGUGGAAUUCCGCGUGUAGUGGUGAAAUGCGUAGAGAUGCGGAGGAACACCAGUGGCGAAGGCGGCAUUCUGGGCCACAACUGACGCUGAGACGCGAAAGCAUGGGUAGCGAACGGGAUUAGA